RNAcentral lists this ribosomal RNA (482 nucleotides) under uncultured bacterium. RNAcentral describes it as "partial 16S ribosomal RNA". It matches the Rfam family "Bacterial small subunit ribosomal RNA", at positions 28 to 506 of the family's 1533-position model. The record is from RNAcentral.
GAUGAACGCUGGCGGCGUGCCUAACACAUGCAAGUCGAACGGAGUCGUUUUGGAAAUCUCUUCGUAGAUGGAAUUCUCGACUUAGUGGCGGACGGGUGAGUAACGCGUGAGCAAUCUGCCUUUAAGAGGGGGAUAACAGUCGGAAACGGCUGCUAAUACCGCAUAAAGCAUUAAAUUCGCAUGUUUUUGAUGCCAAAGGAGCAAUCCGCUUUUAGAUGAGCUCGCGUCUGAUUAGCUAGUUGGCGGGGUAACGGCCCACCAAGGCGACGAUCAGUAGCCGGACUGAGAGGUUGAACGGCCACAUUGGGACUGAGACACGGCCCAGACUCCUACGGGAGGCAGCAGUGGGGAAUAUUGCGCAAUGGGGGAAACCCUGACGCAGCAACGCCGCGUGAUUGAAGAAGGCCUUCGGGUUGUAAAGAUCUUUAAUCAGGGACGAAACAAAUGACGGUACCUGAAGAAUAAGCUCCGGCUAACUACGU